CCUACGGGGAGCAGCAGUGAGGAAUAUUGGUCAAUGGCCGAGAGGCUGAACCAGCCAAGUCGCGUGAGGGAAGACGGCCCUACGGGUUGUAAACCUCUUUUGUCGGGGAGCAAAGCGAGUCACGUGUGACUCAUUGAGAGUACCCGAAGAAAAAGCAUCGGCUAACUCCGUGCCAGCAGCCGCGGUAAUACGGAGGAUGCGAGCGUUAUCCGGAUUUAUUGGGUUUAAAGGGUGCGCAGGCGGAGGUGCAAGUCAGCGGUCAAAUUGCGGGGCUCAACCCCGUACUGCCGUUGAAACUGCAGCCCUUGAGUGCGCGAGAAGUAUGCGGAAUGCGUGGUGUAGCGGUGAAAUGCAUAGAUAUCACGCAGAACUCCGAUUGCGAAGGCAGCAUACCGGCGCGCAACUGACGCUCAUGCACGAAAGCGUGGGUAUCGAACAGGAUUAGAUACCCGAGUAGUC
RNAcentral lists this ribosomal RNA (459 nucleotides) under uncultured bacterium. RNAcentral describes it as "partial 16S ribosomal RNA". It matches the Rfam family "Bacterial small subunit ribosomal RNA", at positions 338 to 795 of the family's 1533-position model. The record is from RNAcentral.